GCUGUUUUAAGGGCUGAGCUUUGGAUUCCUAGGAGGGAAAAGGAUGUGAUUACUGGGCUACUGCUGAGAGACUUAUACUGAUCCCUGAAGAGCUCUCCUGGGAUGCACUGCCAUGUCUCAUGGAGUGAUGAACAAGUGAAUAGAGAGAGCUGGAAAGACACUGGCACAGU
Long non-coding RNA from Lagopus leucura (white-tailed ptarmigan), 170 nucleotides. RefSeq lists it as uncharacterized. NCBI's taxonomy places the organism in Eukaryota, Metazoa, Chordata, Aves, Galliformes, Phasianidae. The transcript has 3 exons. The record is from RefSeq and is a predicted model, not a curated record.